UAAUAGUGUAUAUUAAAGUUGUUGCAGUUAAAAAGCUCGUAGUUGAAUGUUGGUGUCGAACGAGCGGUCAGCUUCGGCUGUACUGCUCUCUCGACUCCUUCCUUCUGUGGACUACGUCGCACUUUACUGUGUGGCGCUAGGACGCAGAUCGUUUACUGUGAAAAAAUUAGAGUGUUAAAAGCAGGCCGUACGCUUGAAUACAUUAGCAUGGAAUAAUGGAAUAGGACGUCGGGCCUAUUUUGUUGGUUCUAGGACCGUCGUAAUGAUUAAUAGGGACAGUUGGGGCCGUUUAUAUUCCGUAGUCAGAGGUGAAAUUCUUGGAUUUACGGAAGAUAAACUACUGCGAAAGCAUUCGGCAAGGAUGUUUUCGUUAA
RNAcentral lists this ribosomal RNA (374 nucleotides) under uncultured eukaryote. RNAcentral's name for it is "partial 18S ribosomal RNA". It matches the Rfam family "Eukaryotic small subunit ribosomal RNA", at positions 592 to 976 of the family's 1831-position model. The record is from RNAcentral.